Molecule: long non-coding RNA, 214 nt
Filed under: Hordeum vulgare
Lineage: Eukaryota; Viridiplantae; Streptophyta; Magnoliopsida; Poales; Poaceae
Description: long non-coding RNA (HVUL_LNC003352)
Source: RNAcentral
AGCAACACUAUUUCCCUCUUAUCCCCACCUAGCCAUUCUACAAAGCCGCUAAGACCUAACCUAGCGUGAGCUCAUGACCGGAGCCAUUCGAUCGAGAUCCUACGGUCCAAAUUUGGACGAAAGCGGCAAACUCUAACCAUCUUCCUCGAAAUCCACGCCCCACCAACCCUAGGAGCUAGCCAGCCAGCUCCACCCUCUCCCACCGCGUCAGGCC